GCUAGGUGUGGUGGUGCGUGCCUGUAGUCCUAGCUACUUGGGAGGCUGAGACAAGAGGAUUGCUUGAGCUCAGGAGUUCGAGUCUGCAGUGAGUCAUGAUCACACCACUGCACUCCAGCCUGGGUGACAGAGAGAGAGCUUGUCUCAA
Molecule: non-coding RNA, 148 nt
Filed under: Nomascus leucogenys (northern white-cheeked gibbon)
Lineage: Eukaryota; Metazoa; Chordata; Mammalia; Primates; Hylobatidae
Source: Rfam by way of RNAcentral